GAAUUGUUCACAAUGGGCGCAAGCCUGAUGACGCAACGCCGCGUGGAGGAUGAAGGUCUUCGGAUUGUAAACUCCUGUUGCUCGGGAAGAAUGGCUCCGACCUAACACGUCGGAGUGUGACGGUACCGGGUGAGGAAGCCACGGAUAACUCUGUGCCAGCAGCCGCGGUAAUACAGAGGGCGCGAGCGUUGUCCGGAAUCACUGGGCGUAAAGGGCGCGUAGGCGGCCCGAUAAGUAGGGGGUGAAAUCUUGCGGCUUAACCGCAAGGCUGCCUUCUAAACUGUCGGGCUGGAGCACGGUAGAGGCAGAUGGAAUUCCCGGUGUAGCGGUGGAAUGCGUAGAGAUCGGGAAGAACACCAGUGGCGAAGGCGGUCUGCUGGGCCGUUGCUGACGCUGAGGCGCGACAGCGUGGGGAGCAAAC
RNAcentral lists this ribosomal RNA (421 nucleotides) under uncultured bacterium. RNAcentral's name for it is "bacterial SSU rRNA". It matches the Rfam family "Bacterial small subunit ribosomal RNA", at positions 359 to 773 of the family's 1533-position model. The record is from RNAcentral.